RNAcentral lists this ribosomal RNA (506 nucleotides) under uncultured bacterium. RNAcentral describes it as "partial 16S ribosomal RNA". It matches the Rfam family "Bacterial small subunit ribosomal RNA", at positions 30 to 523 of the family's 1533-position model. The record is from RNAcentral.
AUUGAACGCUGGCGGCAGGCCUAACACAUGCAAGUCGAGCGGCAGCGGAAAGUAGCUUGCUACUUUGCCGGCGAGCGGCGGACGGGUGAGUAAUGUCUGGGAAACUGCCUGAUGGAGGGGGAUAACUACUGGAAACGGUAGCUAAUACCGCAUAACGUCGCAAGACCAAAGAGGGGGACCUUCGGGUCUCUUGCCAUCAGAUGUGCCCGGAUGGGAUUAGCUAGUAGGUGGGGUAACGGCUCACCUAGGCGACGAUCCCUAGCUGGUCUGAGAGGAUGACCAGCCACACUGGAACUGAGACACGGUCCAGACUCCUACGGGAGGCAGCAGUGGGGAAUAUUGCACAAUGGGCGCAAGCCUGAUGCAGCCAUGCCGCGUGUAUGAAGAAGGCCUUCGGGUUGUAAAGUACUUUCAGCGGGGAGGAAGGCGUUGAGGUUAAUAACCUCAGUGAUUGACGUUACCCGCAGAAGAAGCACCGGCUAACUCCGUGCCAGCCGCCGCGGUAA